RNAcentral lists this transfer RNA (87 nucleotides) under Acidobacteriota bacterium. Its description in RNAcentral is "Acidobacteria bacterium (groundwater metagenome) tRNA-Leu". It matches the Rfam family "tRNA". Rfam says of the family: Transfer RNA (tRNA) molecules are approximately 80 nucleotides in length. Their secondary structure includes four short double-helical elements and three loops (D, anti-codon, and T loops). Lineage: Bacteria; Pseudomonadati; Acidobacteriota. The record is from RNAcentral.
GCGGAUAUGGCGGAAUUGGCAGACGCGCUAGGUUCAGGUCCUAGUGAUCGCAAGGUCGUGGAGGUUCGAGUCCUCUUAUCCGCACCA